GGGAAAUUUUCCGCAAUGGGCGAAAGCCUGACGGAGCAAUACCGCGUGAGGGACGAAGGCCUGUGGGUUGUAAACCUCUUUUGUUAGGGAAGAUAAUGACGGUACCUAACGAAUAAGCAUCGGCUAACUCCGUGCCAGCAGCCGCGGUAAGACGGAGGAUGCAAGCGUUAUCCGGAAUUAUUGGGCGUAAAGCGUACGUAGGCUGUUUCAUAAGUCUGUUGUCAAAGCCCGAGGCUCAACCUUGGAUCGGCAAUGGAAACUGUGAGACUAGAGAGAGAUAGGGGCAGGAGGAAUUCCAGGUGUAGCGGUGAAAUGCGUAGAUAUCUGGAAGAAC
This 334-nucleotide ribosomal RNA is filed under the name uncultured cyanobacterium. RNAcentral's name for it is "bacterial SSU rRNA". It matches the Rfam family "Bacterial small subunit ribosomal RNA", at positions 356 to 707 of the family's 1533-position model. Lineage: Bacteria; Bacillati; Cyanobacteriota. The record is from RNAcentral.